RNAcentral lists this ribosomal RNA (1032 nucleotides) under Rana chaochiaoensis. Its description in RNAcentral is "partial large subunit ribosomal RNA". It matches the Rfam family "Bacterial large subunit ribosomal RNA", at positions 874 to 2607 of the family's 2925-position model. The record is from RNAcentral. Lineage: Eukaryota; Metazoa; Chordata; Amphibia; Anura; Ranidae.
AGCUCACCUUAAGUUUUUUUAUUAAACUAAACAGACCCUCAGACUUAAGAGCUAUUCAAAUAAGGCACAGCUUAUUUGAAAUAGGAUACAACCUACAACAUAGGGUAAACAAGAGUUACUUAAAUAAAGUGGGCCUAAAAGCAGCCAUCUUUAAAAAAGCGUUAAAGCUUAACUACCCUCUACUCACAAUACCUAAAACCUUCACUAACCCCUCACCACUAUUGAACAAUUUUAUACUUAUAUAAAAGCUAUUAUGCUAGAACUAGUAACAAGAAAUUGCCCUUCUCCUAAAUGUAAGCAUACACCAAAAUAAACUCUGUUGGUCAUUAACGUAAAUGCUAAACUAUAGUAACACUCACUAGAAAACCCUAUAAUUCCCAACGUUAACCUUACACCAGAACAUUACAGGAAAGAUUAAAAGAAAAAGAAGGAACUCGGCAAAUCUUAGCCUCGCCUGUUUACCAAAAACAUCGCCUCUUGCAAAACAUAAGAGGUCCAGCCUGCCCAGUGACAAAGUUCAACGGCCGCGGUACCCUAACCGUGCGAAGGUAGCAUAAUCACUUGUUCUUUAAAUGAGGACUAGUAUCAACGGCACUACGAGGGCUAUACUGUCUCCUUUUUCUAAUCAGUGAAACUGAUCUCCCCGUGAAGAAGCGGGGAUCAAAAUAUAAGACGAGAAGACCCCAUGGAGCUUUAAACUCUCUGUGCACUUCUAUGCUCCCGCACCAUCAGACAUAAGAAAACUGCACACUAGUUUUAGGUUGGGGGGACCACGGAGUACAAUUUAACCUCCAUAACAAAUGGGUUAGUCACCCUUAUCCACGAGACACAUCUCUAAGAAUUAUUAUACUAAUGCUUAUGACCCGAUAUUCGAUCAAUGGACCAAGUUACCCUGGGGAUAACAGCGCAAUCUACUUCAAGAGCCCAUAUCGACAAGUAGGUUUACGACCUCGAUGUUGGAUCAGGGUAUCCCGGUGGUGCAGCCGCUACCAAUGGUUCGUUUGUUCAACGAUUAAAACCCUACGUGAUCUG